GUGUGUGGAUUUGACUGACAAAGACAGAUGUUGCUUCCGGAGAAAAGAAAGAAAAUGGUAUAUUUUUUCCCAGGAAGUGCACCAUUCUUCACAAAUGUUUUUCUCUCAGCCUUUGCCACACCCACAGGAGCCUGAUGAUACCACUAGUCCUUGUUUUAUGGAAGGAGAAACUGAGUCAUACACCAGGCAUGAAGACACAAAAAACAACACACAGUCCCUAUUAUUAGGGCUCCCAGCCGGAUGGGAGACAAGCAUGGAGGGAAACCUGAGCCAAUAGCAAGCAUCUCUAGGAGAGUCAUGGUGCCUGAGCCUUCGAUAUUUUCAUGCUGAAAGAAGACCACCCUCAAGCAGUCAGAGCAAUAUGGAAUGUACCAUCAAA
Molecule: long non-coding RNA, 379 nt
Organism: Myotis myotis
Lineage: Eukaryota; Metazoa; Chordata; Mammalia; Chiroptera; Vespertilionidae
Exons: 3
Source: RefSeq, a predicted model, not a curated record